Molecule: ribosomal RNA, 253 nt
Filed under: uncultured bacterium
Lineage: Bacteria
Description: partial 16S ribosomal RNA
Rfam family: Bacterial small subunit ribosomal RNA
Source: RNAcentral
UCGAAGGGGGCUAGCGUUGUUCGGAUUUACUGGGCGUAAAGAGCUCGUAGGCGGUGUGUCACGUCGGCCGUGAAAACCUGCAGCUUAACUGUGGGCGUGCGGUCGAUACGGGCAUCACUGGAGUUCGGCAGGGGAGACUGGAAUUCCUGGUGUAGCGGUGAAAUGCGUAGAUAUCGGAAGGAACACCAGUGGCGAAAGCGGCUUCCUGGUCCAGCACCGACGUUCAGGCACGAAAGCGUGGGGAGCAAACAGG